GGUUGCGAUCAUAACAGCACUAAUGCACCGGAUCCCAUCAGAACACCCGCAGUUAAGUGUGCUUGGGCGAGAGUAGUACUAGGAUGGGUGACCCCCCAGAAAGUCCUCGUGUAGCAACCC
This 120-nucleotide ribosomal RNA is filed under the name Helianthus annuus (common sunflower). Lineage: Eukaryota; Viridiplantae; Streptophyta; Magnoliopsida; Asterales; Asteraceae. The record is from RNAcentral.